UACGUAGGGGGCUAGCGUUGUUCGGAAUUACUGGGCGUAAAGGGCUCGUAGGCGGCCAACUAAGUCCGACGUGAAAUCCCCAGGCUUAACCUGGGAACUGCGUCGGAUACUGGAUGGCUUGAAUUCGGGAGAGGGAUGCAGAAUUCCAGGUGUAGCGGUGAAAUGCGUAGAUAUCUGGAGGAAUACCGGUGGCGAAGGCGGCAUCCUGGACCGACAUUGACGCUGAGGAGCGAAAGCUAGGGGAGCAAACGGG
RNAcentral lists this ribosomal RNA (253 nucleotides) under uncultured bacterium. Its description in RNAcentral is "partial 16S ribosomal RNA". It matches the Rfam family "Bacterial small subunit ribosomal RNA", at positions 524 to 776 of the family's 1533-position model. The record is from RNAcentral.